This 377-nucleotide unclassified non-coding RNA is filed under the name Hevea brasiliensis (rubber tree). The record is from RNAcentral. Lineage: Eukaryota; Viridiplantae; Streptophyta; Magnoliopsida; Malpighiales; Euphorbiaceae.
GUUUGGUGCAUCAGCAGACGCCCCUUGUGCCACAAUUGGCACUGCCUCAAGCAGCUGCAGGGUCUUAUGGUGUGCGCCAACACGGCCCGUUGGUCCAUUCACAGGACAUUCAUCAAGCUAGCAGUUUUGUGCAUCAGCAGAUGCCCCUUGCACCACAAUUAGCCCAACAGUCUGCACUGCUUCAGGAAGCUGCAGGGUCUUAUGGUGUGCCCCAACAUGCCCCUUUGGUCCAUUCACAGGAAAUUCAUCAAGCUAGCAGUUUUGUGCAUCAGCAGAUGCCCCUUGCACCACAAUUAGCCCAACAGUCUGCACUGCUUCAGGAAGCUGCAGGGUCUUAUGGUGUGCCCCAACAUGCCCCUUUGGUCCAUUCACAGGAA